GGAGCAGCGCGGAGGGGCGCGGAGGGGCUCGCAGCGGGAGCGCGGCGGCCGCCGCAGCCCUGCGCAGCCCCGGGGGCCGCCUCGGAGGGAAAGACCCCCCACGAUCCCCCCGAAACCGGCAGAGAGCUGCUCAUCCUAAAAGCCACCCUCUGGGAAGGGACCACCCGGGCACAUGGCACAGCCCUGAGGGAAUCGCAUUUGAGCUGGCUGGAGAUGCCAGCUCUGUGGCCGGAGAUGCCAGUCCUGCGGCUGUUCCCAAAGGCAGCGAGCGCCGGCUUUCCAGAAGGACCCUCACUGCUUGCUGAGGGUUUCCUGGGUUUAUCAAAGCUCCUUCUAUACUGGGGAGAAUAAGGGUGGUUUGUUCAGCAGCAUCCUGGUCACACAAACCGCCAGCGAGCACGAGGGAUCCUUCUGUUAAUGAGCUGAGCAAAAAAGGGAGAGAAAUGUCAUUGAAGGUUUUUCCUUUGGUGAUAGAGAGUCAUGAAAAACAACACAUGAUUCCCAGGUCAUGAAAAACAACACAUGAUCCCGGGAUCUCUUCCAGCCAAAACACAGCCGGGAUCUGUGCCGCUGUUCCCACCGCCCCAUCCCCUGACUCCUCAGCUGGAGAUCAAGGCAGGCAUCGCUGCUCCCAGGCAGCCCCAGCACAGGAGCCACGCACAGAGCCACCAAAGGACGACAGAGGAGGAUCACAUGUAGUUUCAUCCACACCUUUCUCACCCUUUUCUCCCUUCAGCUUAUUGAGGCAUUGCGUUUGCAUGGAUUCUGUUUGUAUCCAAAGCAGAGACAGAACUAAAAGGUGGUUGUGGUGGUGGUGCUGGGGCUGGCAGCAGCUUCUAUGGGAUGGGAAGGACCUGAUGAAGUGGCCCUUGGCUCCAUGAGCAUCACUGAGAAAUCAAACCCCACAUCAACUAAAACCCAAGGAAAAGUAUCUGAAAACCCACGUGCCAAUUCACACUGUUUGCUAGUUGCAUACCUGUUAAGAAACAUCAUUUAAAUAAAAAAAAUUGUAAGGAUCCUGCUUGUUUUAAGCCAAACCCGCAGCAGGAUGAGCUUUUUAUACUAACCCCAAGGUAACAAGGCCGUUGCACUUAUGGCAUCCUCCUAAGCAGGCUUCUGUUGAAGGUUGGUGUUGCAGAGCCCAGCCUUCAGAGGCGUUUGUGAUUUAGAGGCAAUUUAGUCAAGUGCUGUUCCUAGAGCUGAAACAUUCUGCAGUAGAAAAGGAGGAAAAAAAAAAUCCUGUGGCAUUUACUAAUAAAACUCUUUAG
This 1268-nucleotide long non-coding RNA is filed under the name Strigops habroptila (Kakapo). Its description in RNAcentral is "lncRNA (ENSSHBG00005007258.1)". The record is from RNAcentral. Lineage: Eukaryota; Metazoa; Chordata; Aves; Psittaciformes; Psittacidae.